UCGGUCAAGGGUAUACGGUAGCUGCGCUCCCCUGCUAGAACCUCCAAACAAGCUCAAGGUCCAUUUGUAGGAGAACGUAGGGUAGUCAAGCUUCCAAGACUGCAGACACAUCCAAGUGAGGCACUGCAUGGGGCAGUCUGCCAUUGUUU
Molecule: small nuclear RNA, 149 nt
Filed under: Cathartes aura (turkey vulture)
Lineage: Eukaryota; Metazoa; Chordata; Aves; Accipitriformes; Cathartidae
Description: 7SK RNA
Rfam family: 7SK RNA
About the family: 7SK was discovered as an abundant small nuclear RNA in the mid-70s but a possible function has only recently been suggested. Two independent studies have found that 7SK RNA binds the CDK9/cyclin T complex (known as elongation factor P-TEFb). P-TEFb activates transcription by phosphorylating the C-terminal domain of RNA polymerase II.
Source: Rfam by way of RNAcentral